This is a non-coding RNA of Camellia sinensis, 1632 nucleotides long. NCBI's taxonomy places the organism in Eukaryota, Viridiplantae, Streptophyta, Magnoliopsida, Ericales, Theaceae. The record is from RefSeq and is a predicted model, not a curated record.
UUCUUGUUUCACUAAUUUGUUUUUUUCAAUGCAAUCGAUUUUGUGUUGUUUAAUGUUUUUAGGUAUAUGAUCGUGAGAGUGAUUGCCAUGAAAUCUUGAAUAUAGUCUUGGUUUAUAUGGUUUUCUUAUGAAUUGAAUUGGAUUAGGAUAUUGAUAAAUAUUCGGUCACGUAAUCGGACAGAGUAUUUUGGAAGUGAAUCCCACUAACAAAUCUUUGAAAAUCUUGUCCAUUUAUCUGUAUUUUGUGCUGAGUCUGGGAUUCGGAUUUGGAUUUUUGUGGAUAAUAGUUCAUGAAAUCUAAUUUCAUGUGAGUCUUGUACAAUCUUGUUAUAGGUUAAGGUUAGUUGAUUGAAUUUGAGGUUUGGGCUAAAAUUAGUGCUCAUCUAUUUUUGCCUAGACAUAUAUCAGUGAAUCUGGAAUGUGUUAAUGAUGUUUAAUAGUUGUAGGCACAACAGAUAGUGAGGUUAAUUUGGAUAAUGUUGGCUUAUGUCAAUAUGAUGAAUUUGGUGGCAUUUGGUUUAUUGAAUUUGAUCUAGGUCCCAAUGGGUCAAGCAAACGACUCAAUGAUGAACAUCUGCUGUGCAAUGAGAUGUUUAUCCAAGGAGGCAUUUUUCAUUUUUAUUUUUAUAAAUCUUUCUAAAUUUUUUUAUUGAAUUUUUGUAAGAGGUAAUUAUUUGAGAAUUGUAUUACUCCAUUCUUCUUAGUUUCUGCGUAUAUCACAUUCUUUCUAUCCAAGUGUCUAAUGCGAAUGAAUCUUUGGAUGGGGAAGGUAGGAACUGCUAGAUUUGAAUUAGUGGAUCACUGUGUGGUUUUUUUUCAGAUAGUGUUGUUGGUGGUGAAAGGAAAAAGUUCACUAAUUUUUGUGGGGCGAGGACUUGGGUUCUUCGAAGUUGGGAAUGUUUGUUCCUAAUGUGGGAUAAUUGUUUCUAAUGCAAGCUGUGAUUUUAUUACUUGACCUUUAUGGAAGAAACGAGGUAGGAUAAACACUUAGUUGUGGUUUCGGAUUAUUUCAAAGGUAGGUAAGGUGGAAAAGAGUAAUAUUCAAAUGCAAGGGGUGAGAUUUUUCUUAAGGGUGGUGAUGGAAAAAUGGAAAUUUUAUAGAAAAAUAUAAAGGAUAUGGUGUUAAGAUGUUACGUUUUAGCAGUUUGCACAAAUAAUCAAACAUGUUGCCGUUGUUUCUUUUUAUUGGUUUCUUUUUUUGCAAGCCUUUUUUUAUUAAAUUAUUAGGGGUUGUUAUUUUAGUGUUUUCUAUUAAAUUCUUUUUUUUAUUUGGAGAUCACUAAAUUCCUGUUUGGUUGCACAAAUUGAAUUGACUGAUUUUAAAUAUGUAGAUUUUUAAAAAGUGUUAAUUCAAAAUUUGUGAAGGCAUUGAAUAAAAUUAAUUUUGAAUCUACUAAAGUUGGAUUAGGUAAUUUUGUGGUAACAAAAUAAACUUUUUUAAAAUUUUAACAAUCAUAAUUACACUCAUUAAGUAAUUCUAUGCGAGAGGCUAAAAGUGGAGUGUGAAUAUUGUUGCUCUUUUUAAUUAGUUAAGUAAAUUUACAUAAAUUUCAGGUGUUGCUCUUUAUACCCAAACAAAUUAUUCACGGAUGAGCCAAUUCUAAACUGGUUCAAUUCACAUUAUAGGCACAA